CCUACGGGUGGCAGCAGUGAGGAAUAUUGGUCAAUGGGCGCUAGUCUGAACCAGCCAAGUAGCGUGAAGGAUGACGGCCCUAUGGGUUGUAAACUUCUUUUAUAUGGGAGUAAAGCGCAGUACGUAUACUGCUUUGCAUGUACCUUAUGAAUAAGGAUCGGCUAACUCCGUGCCAGCAGCCGCGGUAAUACGGAGGAUCCGAGCGUUAUCCGGAUUUAUUGGGUUUAAAGGGAGCGUAGGCGGUUUGUUAAGUCAGUUGUGAAAGUUUGCGGCUCAACCGUGAAAUUGCAUUUGAUACUGGCAUCCUUGAGUACAGUAGAGGUAGGCGGAAUGCGUGGUGUAGCGGUGAAAUGCUUAGAUAUCACGAAGAACUCCGAUUGCGAAGGCAGCCUACUAAACUGUAACUGACGCUGAUGCUCGAAAGUGUGGGUAUCAAACAGGAUUAGAUACCCGGGUAGUC
This 460-nucleotide ribosomal RNA is filed under the name uncultured bacterium. Its description in RNAcentral is "partial 16S ribosomal RNA". It matches the Rfam family "Bacterial small subunit ribosomal RNA", at positions 338 to 795 of the family's 1533-position model. The record is from RNAcentral.